Pogoniulus pusillus (Red-fronted tinkerbird) is the source of this 838-nucleotide long non-coding RNA. RefSeq lists it as uncharacterized. The record is from RefSeq and is a predicted model, not a curated record. Lineage: Eukaryota; Metazoa; Chordata; Aves; Piciformes; Lybiidae. The transcript has 2 exons.
ACAAGUAACCCUGCGCGGUUCCUGCUGCUCCGGAGCCGGGGUGGGGCAGGCAUCACCUCCUCCCCACCUCAGGCAGCCCGAGCCAGGUGACUACAGCAGUAAAUCACUGCCUGAGUAACGCUGCAUAAACACUCGGCGCUCCCCAGCUCCCCAGGUGAGUGUCCUCACCACUUCCUUUGGCUCUGUACAUCCAGCAGCUCCCGGGAAACACCCCAGCGGCUUCUGCUGGGCAGGCGGUGUGCUGAAAGCAAUGGGAUGGCAGCAGGAAUGUCAGUCCUGAAUAGCUGCCCUGAGGAGGGGAGGCACACACCAGGCGUGCCAGCCGCAAACGCUGGUUUGUUCAGGCUCUCUGCAGCUGCUCCGGUCUAGAUGUCAUUCUUCCAUCCUCGUUUCAGAGGCGUUUGCCAGGUUAUUCUGCUGCUUUGGGUGCUCACACGUGGGAGCAGUCAAGCUCUAAGCUAUGAAAAGUGACAACCAAAAAGAACUACAGCUGCAGGGACAGAAUAUACAACUACAGCUAGGAGGCCACCACUGCUCAGCUAAGAGCAUUCCUUCCUCUGUCAGUAACACAGCUCCAUGUUUAUUUACUUCUCUCAAACCUGUUAACCUCAGCUUUCAAACUGGCCUAUAAAACCAAGAAAGCAUCCAGGAUGAUCUAGGCCAGGUUAUGUCCCUUGAACCCUGCUAAAAAUCAUAGACUUGAGUUGGAAGGGACCCUUAAAGGUCAUCUAGCCAAAGCUCCCUGCAGUCAGCAGUGGUAUCUGCAACUAGAUCAGGUUGCUCCAAGCCCACUCCAAACUGACUUUGAGUAACUCCAAGAAUGGGGCAUCUCCCUCCU